AAAGAUAGUAGCAAAACAAGAUUGUAUAAAUCUUUCGCCUUUUACUAAAGAUUUCCGUGAAGAUAGUAGCAAAACAAUUUGAGUACAAAUUUUUAUGUGUUUUUACUAUUUUCCAAAUGC
Molecule: non-coding RNA, 120 nt
Organism: Otolemur garnettii (small-eared galago)
Lineage: Eukaryota; Metazoa; Chordata; Mammalia; Primates; Galagidae
Source: Rfam